RNAcentral lists this ribosomal RNA (466 nucleotides) under uncultured ammonia-oxidizing beta proteobacterium. RNAcentral describes it as "bacterial SSU rRNA". It matches the Rfam family "Bacterial small subunit ribosomal RNA", at positions 198 to 645 of the family's 1533-position model. The record is from RNAcentral. Lineage: Bacteria; Pseudomonadati; Pseudomonadota; Betaproteobacteria.
GGAGAAAAGCAGGGGAUCGUAAGACCUUGCGCUUUUGGAGUGGCCGAUGCCUGAUUAGCUAGUUGGUGGGGUAAAGGCCUACCAAGGCGACGAUCAGUAGUUGGUCUGAGAGGACGACCAGCCACACUGGGACUGAGACACGGCCCAGACUCCUACGGGAGGCAGCAGUGGGGAAUUUUGGACAAUGGACGAAAGCCUGAUCCAGCAAUGCCGCGUGAGUGAAGAAGGCCUUCGGGUUGUAAAGCUCUUUCAGUCGAGAAGAAAAGAUUGUGAUGAAUAAUCACAGUUCAUGACGGUAUCGACAGAAGAAGCACCGGCUAACUACGUGCCAGCAGCCGCGGUAAUACGUAGGGUGCAAGCGUUAAUCGGAAUUACUGGGCGUAAAGGGUGCGCAGGCGGCUUUGUAAGUCAGAUGUGAAGUCCCCGGGCUUAACCUGGGAAUUGCGUUUGAAACUACAAGGCUAGA